Molecule: transfer RNA, 71 nt
Filed under: Candidatus Pacearchaeota archaeon
Lineage: Archaea; Nanobdellati
Description: tRNA-Trp
Rfam family: tRNA
About the family: Transfer RNA (tRNA) molecules are approximately 80 nucleotides in length. Their secondary structure includes four short double-helical elements and three loops (D, anti-codon, and T loops).
Source: RNAcentral
GGGUGCGUGGUUCAACGGUAGAAUAUUCGGCUCCAGCCCGAAAGACGGGGGUUCAAUUCCCUCCGCGCCCA